CGUACGGGACAACAUUCCGAAGGAGUGCUAAUACCGGAUGUGAUCAUCUUGCCGCAUGGCAGGAUGAAGAAAGAUGGCCUCUACAAGUAAGCUAUCGCUAAAGGAUGGGCCUGCGUCUGAUUAGCUAGUUGGUAGUGUAACGGACUACCAAGGCGAUGAUCAGUAGCCGGUCUGAGAGGAUGAACGGCCACAUUGGGACUGAGACACGGCCCAA
Molecule: ribosomal RNA, 214 nt
Filed under: uncultured bacterium
Lineage: Bacteria
Description: partial 16S ribosomal RNA
Rfam family: Bacterial small subunit ribosomal RNA
Source: RNAcentral